UCCCUGGCUUGGCUGCAGCUGCAGUC
Molecule: non-coding RNA, 26 nt
Filed under: Homo sapiens (human)
Lineage: Eukaryota; Metazoa; Chordata; Mammalia; Primates; Hominidae
Source: RNAcentral